UAACGCGUGGGCAACCUGCCCCGUACCGGGGGAUAACAGCCGGAAACGGCUGCUAAUACCGCAUAUGCUUUGCGGGCCGCAUGGCCCGCAAAGCAAAACUCCGGUGGUACGGGAUGGGCCCGCGUCUGAUUAGCUGGUUGGCGGGGUAACGGCCCACCAAGGCGACGAUCAGUAGCCGGCCUGAGAGGGCGGCCGGCCACAUUGGGACUGAGACACGGCCCAGACUCCUGCGGGAGGCAGCAGUGGGGAAUAUUGCACAAUGGGGGAAACCCUGAUGCAGCGACGCCGCGUGGGCGAGGAAGUACCUCGGUAUGUAAAGCCCUAUCAGCAGGGAAGAAACAGGACAGUACCUGACUAAGAAGCCCCGGCUAACUACGUGCCAGCAGCCGCGGUAAUACGUAGGGGCAAGCGUUAUCCGGAUUCACUGGGCGUAAAGGGAGCGCAGGCGGCAUGGCAAGUCUGAUGUGAAAACCCGGGGCCCAACCCCGGGAGUGCAUUGGAAACUGCCAGGCUGGAGUGUCGGAGGGGUAAGCGGAAUUCCUAGUGUAGCGGUGAAAUGCGUAGAUAUUAGGAGGAACACCAGUGGCGAAGGCGGCUUACUGGACGACUACUGACGCUGAGGCUCGAAAGCGUGGGGAGCAAACAGGAUUAGAUACCCUGGUAGUCCACGCCGUANACGAUGAAUACCAGGUGU
This 694-nucleotide ribosomal RNA is filed under the name uncultured bacterium. RNAcentral's name for it is "bacterial SSU rRNA". It matches the Rfam family "Bacterial small subunit ribosomal RNA", at positions 111 to 823 of the family's 1533-position model. The record is from RNAcentral.